AGCAGCCACGGUAAUUCCAGCUCCAAUAGCGUAUAUUAAAGUUGUUGCAGUUAAAAAGCUCAUAGUUGAAUUUCGGGAUCAGUUGGUCGGUCAUGCCUCGGUACGUACUGGUCAAAUUGAUUCCUACUUUCUGACGAACCACGAUGUCAUUAAUUUGAUAUCGCGGGAAAUCAGGACUGUUACUUUGAAAAAAUUAGAGUGUUUAAAGCAGGCUCGCACUUGAAUACAUUAGCAUGGAAUAAUGAAAUAGGACGUUUGAUUCUAUUUUGUUGGUUUCUAGGAUCGACGUAAUGAUUAAUAGGGAUAGUUGGGGGCAUUAGUAUUCAAUUGUCAGAGGUGAAAUUCUUGGAUUUAUUGAAGACUAACUACUGCGAAAGCAUUUGCCAAGGAUGUUUUCAUUAAUCAAGAACGAAAGUUAGGGGAUCGAAGACGAUCAGAUACCGUCGUAGUCUUAACCAUAAACUAUGCCGACUAGGGAUCGGAUGAUGUUAAUUUUUUAAUGACUCAUUCGGCGCCUUACG
Molecule: ribosomal RNA, 521 nt
Filed under: uncultured Glomeraceae
Lineage: Eukaryota; Fungi; Glomeromycota; Glomeromycetes; Glomerales; Glomeraceae
Description: SSU rRNA
Rfam family: Eukaryotic small subunit ribosomal RNA
Source: RNAcentral